Long non-coding RNA from Xenia sp. Carnegie-2017, 1644 nucleotides. RefSeq lists it as uncharacterized. Lineage: Eukaryota; Metazoa; Cnidaria; Anthozoa; Malacalcyonacea; Xeniidae. The record is from RefSeq and is a predicted model, not a curated record. The transcript is spliced from 2 exons.
GAAAAACUAUGGUCACAUUGAUUUUUUUCAUUAAUAGAGUAAACCAGUUUAUGUAACCGUCGUGACUUGCAAUUAAUUGCAAGAUAUCAGCUUUGACCAGAUAUUUUCCACUACUUAUGAAAUGUAAGCCGUUGCACUAUCUAGUGUAUUAUUAGAUCUGUGCUUUGGGGCCACAAGGGUAAUCUGAUUACAGAAACAUCUAAACCACCUUUCCGACGGUAGACACACGUGUCAAAAAUACGAGAUUAAAUUACGAAAUUCGGACAAACAAAUGGUCGGACGUAUUAGAAACUGUCAAACUAUGCACAUAGCUAAGCAAGCAAUGUGAGUCCGUCCUCACAGGCAAUCUAUGUAAGGUGUAUAUAAGAUGAGAAAUUCGCAUGCAGCGAUUUUGGUGUGACGACAAAGCGAAACUGUUGGCAUGGAAACUGAGAUUGUUGUGUACAAAUUGCCGACAACGCUUGUGCAUCAGAAUCGUUACCACUUCUCGACACUCGUCUUUCAAACCGAGAAAGCAAAUAAUUUGUUCUUCAAUCAAAGUGGGACUGCUUUUGUUUCUCAAGUACAUUUGAUUGAAGAUUCGAACCGCGUUUCUAAAGUAAAGUCUCAUCACAAUUUAGAAAGAAAAAAAUUCUGUCCAAUGAAACAGUUUGUUCGGUGAGUACAACAAAGUCAACGGAAAUCGGUGACAAUUUUAUUUUUGGAUCCGAAAGUUACUGGCAAAAUGUAUUCGUCGCGUUCCAGCAUACGAAAGCCUUGGGGAACGAUAACACACCCGAAGGAGCGACAUCCCGAUAAAUUACUCGGCUAUCAAAAACUCAACAGAGAGCAGGUACGAGAUGUUGUAAAUCGUCUCUACCAGGAAAACUGGCACGAAAAACGAGAAAGAAAGCGUUUGAAAUCAAAGCAGGAAUAUAUUGCACGAGAGCGCAGACACGAAGUUAAAAGAAGCGCUGCUGAAGUGGAAGACAUCGUUCAAAGGUUGACGAGGAACUCCGAAAGAAAUGUCACGGAUAGCAAUAGGACCGGGGCAAUGAAAGAAUGUGGUAUUUUCAAUACGUUUGCUUGCAAAGGAUGGAAUUGAUUGAAUCAACAUUUCGAUUUAAUGCAGUUGUUUAUUUUUUUGUGGUAUCACGGGCUAGGCUGAGGAACGAUAUGCUUAGAACUGUAAAAUAAGCAUACUUUUUCAUCUUUAUCUUUUUUUUAUUUAAUUGUCUGUGAGAAAAAUAUGCCGGCAUUUCUUAUUUCUCUCGUCGCUCGUGAAGUUAUCUCGCCACAGAGGUACGAUACGAAUUCAAAUACCAUGGUGUAAAUAAACUGUGGCACAGGCGAGAGGAAAAACGGUGCUUCCCUGUUUCCGUCAAUCGGCUGAAGAGUCGAGACCGCCAUCCUGGAAAGAUGGAAUCCGUGUAGAAAGUAGUGGUGUAAUUAAUUAGCUUCUUAUUGCCAAAUUAUACAAAAUAUCACCCAAUAAACAUGGCAAAUUGCUUUUGGAAAGACUCUAGAGAAUAAGUUUGUAUUAGGCACCUCCCUCUAAUACACACCCUAUUUCUAAUAGACGCCCCCUAUUACUGUUAUAAUAAUAUCAUUAUAUAUUUGGUUGUUGAUUGUUUGAACUAAGGUAAUAAAAAUGUUAUAAGAUCA